GACGAACGCUGGCGGCGUGCUUAACACAUGCAAGUCGAACGGAAAGGCCCUGCUUUUGUGGGGUGCUCGAGUGGCGAACGGGUGAGUAACACGUGAGUAACCUGCCCUUGACUUUGGGAUAACUUCAGGAAACUGGGGCUAAUACCGGAUAGGAGCUCCUGCUGCAUGGUGGGGGUUGGAAAGUUUCGGCGGUUGGGGAUGGACUCGCGGCUUAUCAGCUUGUUGGUGGGGUAGUGGCUUACCAAGGCUUUGACGGGUAGCCGGCCUGAGAGGGUGACCGGCCACAUGGGGACUGAGUUACGGCCCAGACUCCUACGGGAGGCAGCAGUGGGGAAUAUUGCACAAUGGGCGGAAGCCUGAUGCAGCAACGCCGCGUGCGGGAUGACGGCCUUCGGGUUGUAAACCGCUUUCGCCUGUGACGAAGCGUGAGUGACGGUAAUGGGUAAAGAAGCACCGGCUAACUACGU
This 467-nucleotide ribosomal RNA is filed under the name uncultured bacterium. RNAcentral's name for it is "partial 16S ribosomal RNA". It matches the Rfam family "Bacterial small subunit ribosomal RNA", at positions 28 to 506 of the family's 1533-position model. The record is from RNAcentral.